CACCGACUGAGACUCUCCUUUUUGCAUUUGAACUGAUCCACCUUAGCUAGGUGCAGCUUUCGUGGAUGGACUAUACAGAAUCUUCUUCCAAAGUGAUAAGUUCUGAUUGCAGAAAUAUGACAAUAAUUGAUUUCAGCUCAUAUAAAAUUUCAAAAAGGAGAUAUAGCGAAUUGUUGACGUUGGACAAUUUCUGGGUAGUUGCUGUGCCAUUGGGCUUAUGGGGUUGGAGAGUUGCUUUUCUCUUUGUGAGGGAAAAUGAGGUUGUUUUGUACCAGUGCACGAAAUUUAAAUAAAAUAUUGUUUUAGUAUUGAUGUAAAGUGUUCCGG
RNAcentral lists this long non-coding RNA (327 nucleotides) under Androctonus crassicauda. The record is from RNAcentral. Lineage: Eukaryota; Metazoa; Arthropoda; Arachnida; Scorpiones; Buthidae.